Molecule: ribosomal RNA, 484 nt
Filed under: uncultured bacterium
Lineage: Bacteria
Description: partial 16S ribosomal RNA
Rfam family: Bacterial small subunit ribosomal RNA
Source: RNAcentral
AUUGAACGCUGGCGGCAGGCCUAACACAUGCAAGUCGAGCGGAUGAAGGGAGCUCGCUCCUGGAUUCAGCGGCGGACGGGUGAGUAAUGCCUAGGAAUCUGCCUGGUAGUGGGGGAUAACGUCCGGAAACGGGCGCUAAUACCGCAUACGUCCUGAGGGAGAAAGUGGGGGAUCUUCGGACCUCACGCUAUCAGAUGAGCCUAGGUCGGAUUAGCUAGUUGGUGGGGUAAAGGCCUACCAAGGCGACGGUCCGUAACUGGUCUGAGAGGAUGAUCAGUCACACUGGAACUGAGACACGGUCAAGACUCCUACGGGAGGAAGCAGUGGGGAAUAUUGGACAAUGGGCGAAAGCCUGAUCCAGCCAUGCCGCGUGUGUGAAGAAGGUCUUCGGAUUGUAAAGCACUUUAAGUUGGGAGGAAGGGCAGUAAGUUAAUACCUUGCUGUUUUGACGUUACCAACAGAAUAAGCACCGGCUAACUUCGUG